This 338-nucleotide ribosomal RNA is filed under the name uncultured archaeon. RNAcentral's name for it is "bacterial SSU rRNA". It matches the Rfam family "Archaeal small subunit ribosomal RNA", at positions 514 to 857 of the family's 1478-position model. The record is from RNAcentral.
AGCAUCCGUAGCCUGUUCUGUAGGUCUUCUGUUAAAUCCAACGGCUUAACCGUUGGCCUGCAGAAGAUACCGCAGGACUAGGAGGCGGGAGAGGUGGACGGUACUCCACGUGUAGGGGUAAAAUCCUUUGAUCCGUGGAAGACCACCAGUGGCGAAGGCGGUCCACCAGAACGCGCUCGACGGUGAGGGAUGAAAGCUGGGGGAGCGAACCGGAUUAGAUACCCGGGUAGUCCCAGCCGUAAACGAUGCGAGCUAGAUGAUCCAAUCGCAAAUCGCGAUUGGAGUGUCGCAGGGAAGCCGUUAAGCUCGCCGCCUGGGAGUACGUCGCAGAAUCCCCC